Molecule: ribosomal RNA, 300 nt
Filed under: uncultured Methanocella sp.
Lineage: Archaea; Methanobacteriati; Methanobacteriota; Methanomicrobia; Methanocellales; Methanocellaceae
Description: bacterial SSU rRNA
Rfam family: Bacterial small subunit ribosomal RNA
Source: RNAcentral
GUUAAUUACUGGCCAGCGGCGUCGGUAGUAUGUAGGUGGCAAGCGUUUUCCGGAUGUAUUGGGUUUAAAUGGUGCGUAGGCGGCCCUGUAAGUCAGUGGUGAAAUAUCUCAGCUUAACUGAGAGGGUGCCAUUGAUACUGCGGGGCUUGAGUACAGAUGAGGUAGGCGGAAUUGACGGUGUAGCGGUGAAAUGCAUAGAUAUCGUCAAGAACACCGAUAGCGAAGGCAGCUUACCAAGCUGUAACUGACGCUGGGGCACGAAAGUGUGGGGAUCAAACAGGAUUAGAUACCCCUGUAGUC